UUGCAGUUGAAUUAGUAGAAGAAAAUGUAGCGCUUCAACUUGAAAAUGAUA
This 51-nucleotide small RNA is filed under the name Staphylococcus aureus. RNAcentral describes it as "HMPRFS0000_0515". Lineage: Bacteria; Bacillati; Bacillota; Bacilli; Caryophanales; Staphylococcaceae. The record is from RNAcentral.